RNAcentral lists this unclassified non-coding RNA (408 nucleotides) under soil metagenome. Its description in RNAcentral is "partial contains 5.8S ribosomal RNA, internal transcribed spacer 2, and large subunit ribosomal RNA". The stretch from base 1 to 120 matches the Rfam family "5.8S ribosomal RNA", at positions 35 to 154 of the family's 154-position model. The record is from RNAcentral.
GAUGAAGAACGUAGCGAAAUGCGAUAAGUAAUGUGAAUUGCAGAAUUCAGUGGAUCAUCGAAUCUUUGAACGCACCUUGCGCUCCUUGGCAUUCCGAGGAGCAUGCCUGUUUGAGUGUCAUUAAAUUCUCAAGACCUGUCUGCUUUUUUGAUAGGUAUUGGAUUUUGGGGGUUGCAGGCUGUUUCAAAUAAAUAGCCUUGCUCUCCUUGAAUGUAUUAGUGGAGAAAAGCCAUUGAACUCCAUUGGUGUGAUAAAACCUAUCAAUGCCAGGAGCAAUAUCACUACUUCUCUCUGCUGUCUAACUGUGACUGUCUGUAUUAAUUAGUAUGGAUGGGGACAACUUGACCAACUUGACCUCAAAUCAGGUAGGACUACCCGCUGAACUUAAGCAUAUCAAUAAGCGGAGGA